Molecule: long non-coding RNA, 4270 nt
Filed under: Brassica napus (rape)
Lineage: Eukaryota; Viridiplantae; Streptophyta; Magnoliopsida; Brassicales; Brassicaceae
Description: long non-coding RNA (BNAP_LNC020570)
Source: RNAcentral
UUGCCUUCAACUUUUGUGGGAGGUCCAAGAUACAUGCAUGAAAAGUAUAUGGAUGCAAUGGCCGUUUGCUCACAUUUUGGCUAUCCAGAUUUAUUCAUAACCUUCACUUGCAAUCCUAAAUGGCCUGAGAUUACAAGGUAUGUAAGUUCCCGACGCUUACAAACAGAAGACAGACCUGAUAUUCUUUCGAUAUAAAAAACAACAACCUCUUUGGCCCAUCAGCAGCAGGUAAAUUCUAUUACAUACUUAUAACAAAAAUAUAUUUUGUGUUUUAUUUUAUUCUAAUGAUAUUCUUUUGAAAUGAACAGUGAUAUACACAAUUGAAUUCCGAAAAAGAGGACUUCCGCACGCUCAUAUAUUGUUGUUUUUACAGCGGGGAUCAAAGCUUCCUACCACAGAUGACAUAGACAAGUUUAUAUGUGCUGAAAUUCCAGAUCAAGCAUCUAAUCCAACAUUAUAUGAUAUAGUUAGAGAUAUAAUGGUUCAUGGUCCCUGUGGGUUAGCAAAUCCAAACUCGCCAGGUAUGGUGAAAGGAAAAUGUACCAAGCGAUUUCCUAAAGAUUUUUCCCCUCAUACUUCCAUUAAUAAAGAAGGAUUCCCAGUUUACAGAAGAGGAGAUGAUGGAAAAUCAAUGAAGAAAAACGGGAUUGAGAUUGAUAACAGGUACAUCAUUCCUUAUAACCCACAACUACUCCUCAAAUAUCAAGCUCAUAUCAAUGUGGAAUGGUGCAAUCAAUCAAGAGCCAUCAAGUAUUUGUUCAAAUACAUCAACAAAGGAAAUGACCGCGUCACUGCAAAACUACUGCAAGAGUCAGCAAAUGGAGGAAAUUCUGAAAAUACUUCUCAAAAUAUAGUAGAUGAAAUCAAGCGUUUCAUUGAUUGUCGGUAAGUUUUUAAUACUAACGUUCUAUAUACCAUCUCACAUUUUAAGAGUAAAAUAUCUCACAUUUUUUUCUAACUAUUUAAUAGGUAUAUAUCACCAUGUGAAGGAAUGUGGAGAAUAUUGGGGUUUGAGCUACCUUACAGUAGCACAUCUAUUCAAAGGUUGUCUUUCCAUCUACCUGGAGAACAUAAUGUCACCUAUGAUGACGAGGAAGAUAUUGAUGACGUAUUGACAAAAGAGAAAAAUCAAACGUCACAAUUUUUGGAGUUUAUGAAAAUGUGUAGUCAAAAUUCUGAUGCAAAGGAAUUGACUUACAUUCAGUUCCCCUACUUUUUUGUAUGGAACAAGUCGAAACCAGAAUGGACUCCACGUCAACGAAGUUCAGCUGUUGGUAGAAUCCAUCCUACUUCACCAUCCGCGGGUCAACGAUUCUACUUGAGGAUUCUUUUGAACAAAGUUAAAGGACCAACAUGCUACGAAGAUAUACGUACCGUUGAUGGAAUUACAUAUCCAACCCACAAGGAAGCUUGCUAUGCUUUAGGUUUACUUGAUGAUGAUAAGGAGUACAUUGAAGCCAUCAAGGAAGCAAGUCAAUGGGGGUCAGGUGUUUACUUACGUCGAAUAUUCGUUUAUCUUUUAGCUUCAGAAAGUAUGUCACAAACUGAACAUGUUUGGUCGGAAACAUGGCAUUUACUUUCUGAUGACAUUUUACAUAUGCAACGUGCAAUCCUCCAGAGGCCAGGUUUGUCCUUACAAUAAUAAUAUAUAAAAAGUUACAUCUCUAGAAGAUUACAUAUAUGAAUUAUACUAAAUACUAGACGUAUAUCAUAUUUAGUUUUGUACAAUAUUUUUUUUUGUAUUUUGUAAGACAUAAUAUUUUCCAAAUUCUAAAAGUUUCACAGUUGUUAUAAAUAAUUUGCUACACGUAUUAUUGAUUUUUCUAAUUCCUUAAUUUUUCAGGACUAGAAAUGUCAAAUGAUCAGCUAAAGAAUCAAACUUUGUUGGAGAUCGAAAAGCAGUUACGCUCCAGUGGAAAUACUCUCGAAAACUUCUCUUCAAUGCCAUUUCCCACAAACAGCAAUAUUCCUUCUAUGGUCAAUAUAUUGAUAACUGAUGAGCUGUGUUACGACAGAGACGUAUGUGCUCAGGAACAUCAAAGAUUACAGUCUAGAUUGACGUCUGAACAAAGGGAUAUUUAUAAUACUAUCAUGAAAGCUGUCACAACAAAUUCUGGUGGUGUGUUCUUUGUCAAUGGAUUUGGUGGGACAGGAAAGACAUUCCUUUGAAAAACUCUAUCAACAUACAUUCGUUCAGUUGGAGAUAUCGUCUUGAAUGUAGCUUCAAGUGGAAUGGCAGCACUGUUACUAGAUGGAGGACGCACAGCUCAUUCUCGGUUUUCAAUCCCAUUACAGCUGAACGAAUGUUCCACUUGCUCAUUUACCACAAAUAGCGAGAUAGCUGAAUUGUUAUUGAAAGCUAAGUUGAUCAUUUGGGAUGAGGCACCAAUGUUGCACAAACAUUGUUUUGAAGCUCUAGAUAGAAGUUUGAAAAAUGUUUUACGAGCAGCAAAGGCUCCUAACUACAAUAGGCCAUUUGGUGGUAAGACUAUUGUUUUUGGAGGUGACUUUCGCCAAGUGCUCCCAGUAAUUCAUAGGGGUAGCAGGCAAAAAAUUGUGCAAGCUUCUCUCACUUCUUCUGUGCUGUGGAAAUCUUGCAAGGUGCUUAGUUUAACAAAGAAUAUGCGGCUAACUGUUGAUUCAGACCCAGCAGAAGCUGAAUCCAUCAAAGAAUUCUCCGAAUGGAUUCUAAAAUUAGGCGAUGGGAAGUUAUCUGAACCCAAUGAUGGUGAAGCAGUGAUUGAUAUACCAGAUGACAUGCUGCUCAUGGAUUCACUUGAUCCAAUCACGUCAAUCACUAAUGCCACGUUUCCGUCACUGAUAGAGCAUAUGGAGGAUGAGUCUUUUUUCAAAGAUCGUGCUAUAUUAUGUCCCACAAAUGAUGUUGUCAAUGAGGUCAACAAUCACAUCAUGGAUCUUCUUCCGGGUGAUUUACAGACAUAUUAUAGCUCUGAUAAAAUCUGUGAAUCAGAUUUCAGUGAUAAAAGAGAUGAAGAUGUCACAGUUGAAUUCCUUAACUCGAUUAAGUGUGCAGGAGUGCCCAACCAUGUUCUGAAGCUAAAGAAAGGGGUUCCAGUUAUGCUUCUAAGAAACAUUGACCAGAAAUGUGGUUUGGUCAAUGGAACUAGAUUGCAGGUAACACAACUGGGAACUCAUAUCAUUGAAGCAAAAGUCAUUACUGGUAAUCAUGUGGGGGGUAAGAUCUAUCUGCCAAGAAUGGUCCUUACACCUACGGAUGCUAGGUUGCCAUUUCAGUUUCAGCGAAGACAAUUUCCGAUUUCUCUCUGCUUUGGAAUGACAAUUAAUAAGAGCCAAGGUCAGAGUUUAUCUCAUGUGGGGAUCUACUUACCAAAACCAGUUUUUGCACAUGGUCAGCUAUAUGUUGCUGUGUCAAGAGCCAAAAGUAGGGGAGGUUUGAAGAUCCUAAUCGUUGACGAAGAAGGCAAGAGAGCAAAGAAAACAACAAAUGUUGUUUUUAAAGAAAUAUUUCAGAAUUUCAGACAAGAAUGAUGAAUUCUCAGGUAGUAACUAUGUAAAUAUAGUCAUAAAUUUUCUUUGCAAACUCUCUUAUUCGUAACAUAUGUACACUACUAUUUUCAGGUACAUGUGUGAAGUACAUCUUCAGAUACGUGCAUCAACAGCAGUAAAACACAUGUCAAUCACAUUGAUGCUUAAACUUACCUUGAUUUUAUGUAUAUAUUAGGAUAUAUAAAUAUCUCUGCAACUUUGUACAGCUGAUUUUAACAAUGAAAUUGGUUUAUCUUGGGUUAAUUAGACUGCAUACAAGUGAUCAUGCUUCUCUAAUUCAAAUUGACUAUCUAUCUUAGAUUUUAUUUGUGAAUCAAGUUACAAUUUACAAUCAGAAAAUAACCUAAUGCAAAAGUCAAUGAAAUGUUACCAAUAUUGAUAUAUAUGUAACACUUAAGAUGAUUUACUUACCUCGAUUUUAUCAAAUCGUUCAUUUUUGAUAAAACAAAUGACAGAGAUAGUAAAAAUCACGAACCUAGGAUGUGGCGAUCAUAUGGAUGUGUCGAUGCCCCCUCUAGGAAAUAAAGGCGCAUCCGUAUCAGUUUUGAAAAUUAAAUUAGUCAAAGGCUGAUAAGAUAGCUCACCUCAGCUCAGAAAUACCCUUUAUACUUGAGACGUGAUGUCUUAACAGGAAAAUAUGAAACAUGAAAAUAAGCAAUAAGAAAGGAAGCCAUUAAUAAUGUGAUGAUCGUGGAGAAAAGAAAAUGAACAAGGCAAGAGGAAAACGUGAGUGACUUUUCAC